GCCAGGUGUGGUGGUGCACACCUGUAGUCUCAGCUACUUGGGAGGCUGAGAUAGGAGGAUCGCUUGAGUCCAGGAGGUCAAGGCUGCAGUGAGCUGUGACACUACACUCCAGCCUGGGUGACAGAGUGAGACCCUGGCUCAA
This is an unclassified non-coding RNA of Callithrix jacchus (white-tufted-ear marmoset), 142 nucleotides long. It matches the Rfam family "Metazoan signal recognition particle RNA". Rfam says of the family: The signal recognition particle (SRP) is a universally conserved ribonucleoprotein. The record is from Ensembl. NCBI's taxonomy places the organism in Eukaryota, Metazoa, Chordata, Mammalia, Primates, Cebidae.